This is a long non-coding RNA of Hyla sarda, 392 nucleotides long. RefSeq lists it as uncharacterized. The record is from RefSeq and is a predicted model, not a curated record. The transcript has 3 exons. NCBI's taxonomy places the organism in Eukaryota, Metazoa, Chordata, Amphibia, Anura, Hylidae.
GUCUCUGGCUGCAUGGAAUGCUGGGAAAGGUCAGAGACAAAAGUAAAAUGAACAGAGUUAUAUCACAGCACAUCUAGGUGUGAUUCCUGUGCAUGAAGCGGGAAAAAGAGGCACACAGAGAACUUGAUGUGGCUUCAGGCCAGGCUUGGUCAUCAUAGUAGCUAAAGUGGCUGCCUACACCCUGCAGUUGGAAAUUGUAGAGCCUAUGAAACUACAAUAAUCAUGAGUAUCCACCGGGAGCCAACCAAUGAGCAGCUUUAACCCCUUUCGAGGAAAUAGAGACUGUAAGUUACUAAGAAGCAAUGCAUUCAUUCCAGGCCAACAUCUUACCUGUGAAAACUGUGCAAAGUCUCUAUCAGCAAGCAUAGGGAUGUGGCCGAGGAGUUCAUGGC